AUUGAACGCUGGCGGCAGGCCUAACACAUGCAAGUCGAACGGUAACAGGCAGCUUCUUGCUGCUUCGCUGACGGGUGGCGGACGUGUGACUCAUGACUGGGCAACCGCGUGCUGGAGGGGGACAACAACUGGAUGCGGCUACUACCACCGCAUAACGCCGCAAGCAUGGAGAGGGUGGGAUUAGGGCCUCUUGCCAUCGUAUAUGCCCAGGUGGGAUGCGCUUGUGGGUGGGGUAACGGCACACCUAGGCGCCGAUCUGUACCUGGUCGGAGAGGAUGAUCAGCCACACUGGAACUGAGACACGGUCCAGACUCCUACGGGAGGCAGCAGUGGGGAAUAUUGGACAAUGGGCGCAAGCCUGAUGCAGCCAUGCCGCGUGUGUGAAGAAGGCCUUCGGGUUGUAAAGUACUUUCAGCGGGGAGGAAGGGAGUUAAGUUAAUACCUUGCGUCAUUGACGUUACCCGCAGAAGAAGCACCGGCUAACUACGUG
This 490-nucleotide ribosomal RNA is filed under the name uncultured bacterium. RNAcentral describes it as "partial 16S ribosomal RNA". It matches the Rfam family "Bacterial small subunit ribosomal RNA", at positions 30 to 507 of the family's 1533-position model. The record is from RNAcentral.